UGUAAGCGUAUACCAAAGUUGUUGCAGUUAAAACGCUCGUAGUCGGAAUUUGGCAGUUCCGGAUGUGUGCACGUCGUGUGCGCACUUCGCGGGGAUUGCUUUUGUGGUCUUGCGUAGGAUGAGGCACUUUUAUUAGUGAACGUCCUCACGCAACCACUUUUUACUGUGAGAAAAUCAGAGUGCUCAAAGCAGGCAUUUGCCGUGAAUGUAUUAGCAUGGAAUAAUAGAAUAGGACUUGGUUCUAUUUUGUUGGUUUGUUGGGACUGAGUAAUGAUUGAGAGGGACAGUUGGGGGCAUUUGUAUUUCGGUGCUAGAGGUGAAAUUCUUAGAUUACCGAAAGACAAACUGCUGCGAAAGCGUCUGCCAAGGAUGUUUUCAUUGA
Molecule: ribosomal RNA, 382 nt
Filed under: uncultured eukaryote
Lineage: Eukaryota
Description: partial 18S ribosomal RNA
Rfam family: Eukaryotic small subunit ribosomal RNA
Source: RNAcentral